ACCAAGCUCUAGUGCAACCGCUGGUUCAUGGACUAGAAUAUUAAGAUCCAAUUCAAUGGCAGACUGUCUCCAGCAAUGUUGUAUUUUUAUUUUUUUUUGCCGUCAUCCCCCCCACCCACUUGUGAGCAAUGGUUGUACAAAUUAGCCUCUGUGUACUAGUCACCGAAGCUGGCUUCCCAAUUAACCCCAGGCUUGAGAGAAAAUAAGACUAAAGAUUCUUCCCCUCCUGAAAGAACUAAGUUAUCCAUGCACAAAAGCCUACAUGUUGGCACCUGGCUAUGGAGUUGGGCAUUUAAUUGCCUUUGUAAUGACUCAGUCCAUCUGCAUGGUAUUGGGUCCCCAGUUUCAGGUAAUGGGCCAGAGGGGUCUUAUUAGUCUCUGGAAUGACCAGGCCAUGUGUAUUCAUCACUUCGAAAGGCAAGCAGGGUCUGUGAGAAGCUGGUGAAGCUCUUUGUGUGUUCACAUCUCUGAUUGUGCCCUGUGUCCACACUUAGCCAGGACACCUACCCACUUAGUGGUCUUGGCUUUGUUUCUAGGGUGAGGGCUUGAGCUGUGGGUAACAGUGCUGAUUAUUACAUGCUAGUAAGAUUGUCUCCCUCUUUGAAGUGGUAGAAAGGUUUGUCCCUUCAGGGUGAUUGGGUGAAUAUCAGAAAGCAACCACAGGAACAUUUUGUUGUACUUUGCUAAGGUCUAAAUAUUUGUCUCCUCCCACCAAAAAUUAGUGGUUGAAACCUCAUCCCCAGUGUGAUGAAAUGAGGAGGUGAGGCCUUUGGGAGGUGACGAGGUCUUGAAGGCAGAGCCUUUAUGGAUGGGAUUAGUACCCAUAUAAAAGAGACCUCAGGGAGCUUGUUCACCCCUUCUGUCAUGUUGAGUACUCAGCAAGAAGAUGCCAUCUAUGAGGAAUGGACCCCCACCAGACACCCAAUCUGCCAGUAACUUGAUCUUGGACUUCCCAGCCUCCAGAACUGUGAGGAAUCAGUUUCUGCUAUUUAUGAGUUACCCAGUCUAUGGCAUUUUGCUAUGGCAGCCCAAAUAGACUGAGACAUACUCCUUAACCUUUGACCCACUUCUGUUUAGGCCCAGCCAGCCUUCCUGAGCCUGUGCAUAGUCUUCCUGGCUCAAGGAACUCUCUCUACCGAGGUGUGAUCUCCUAACUCCUGGCACUCAUUUACCUAUCCAUGGUUGGUAGUCAGCCUCCAAGAUGCCUGCAGUCAUCCCUGCCUCCUGGGAUUCAUAUCCUCCUCCACAUUGUGCCAGGAUUGGGCUCUGUGGCCAAAAAGAAAACAGCAGAUGAGAGGACGUGUCUCUUCUCAGAAGGGUUAGAAAAGACUGUGGCUUCCAUUUUAGAUGACUUUCUCUCUCUCUCUCUCUCUCUCUCUCUCUCUCUCUCUCUCUCUCCUCUUUUCCUUCUUCUCUUCCUUGGAUCUCUUGCUCUGAGGAAAGCAAACUACUAUGUUGUGAGCAGCCCAAUGGAGAGGCCCACAAGACAACGAACUGAAGCCUCCAGCAACAACCCUGUGAGGUCAGUUUGGAAGUGGAUUUUCUAGCCCCAAUUGAGCUUAAGAUGACUUCAGCUUCAGCAGACAGCUUGACUGCAGCCUUUCUAGAGAGCAAGCACCACCCAGCUCUGCUGCUUCUAGACCCCUGACCUCAGAAAUUGCACGAGAUAACAUGUUUGCUGUUUCAGGCUGCCAAAUUUAGGGGCUGGAACUGCCCAUAAAGGCUGGCACCCCAGCAGCCACCUUGAGAAAUGCAGUGAUGAUGCUGAGUGGCAAGGCAGAAGGCACAGGGUCCCUGCACCUGAGGAUUGCUGCUCCAAACCUGGGCCACCAGCCUGAAGAUCCCGCCAGGGAGAAAUAAAGCUCUGUUUUGCUGAAGCCACUGCUAUUUUGGGGGUCUCAUCUCUUCCAGCUGAUUCUAACCUGAAAUUGAACCUUAAUUCAAUCUGGCUGAUCCAUGAACAACCAUCACGCCUUGUGCUCUGUGUCAGAUAGGUUUCUUAAGGGAGAAUGUCAC
RNAcentral lists this long non-coding RNA (2016 nucleotides) under Homo sapiens (human). RNAcentral's name for it is "HSALNT0386248". The record is from RNAcentral. Lineage: Eukaryota; Metazoa; Chordata; Mammalia; Primates; Hominidae.